AGUCUGGUGCCAGCAGCCGCGGUAAUUCCAGCUCCAAUAGCGUAUACUUAAGUUGUUGCAGUUAAAAAGCUCGUAGUUGGAUCUCGGGGCAGUGCUGAUCUGGUCCGCCUGGAUGGUGAGUACUGGUCGGCCUGUCCUUCCUUACUAGUAACUCGGCUCUGUCCUUAAGUGGGUGGGGUUUCAGCGGGGUUUCGGCUCUGUGGGGUUCUAGUUCAUUUACUUUGAAAAAAUCAGAGUGUUCAAAGCAGGCGUUUGCCGUGAAUACAUUAGCAUGGGAUAAUGGAAUAAGACCUUGUUCUUAUUUUGUUGGUUUCUAAGGACAUCGUAAUGAUUAAUAGGGACAGUUGGGGGCAUUAAUAUUUAAUUGUCAGAGGUGAAAUUCUUGGAUUUAUGAAAGAUUAACUUCUGCGAAAGCAUUUGUCAAGGAUGUUUUCAUUAAUCAAGAACGAAAGUUAGGGGAUCGAAGACGAUCAGAUACCGUCGUAGUCUUAACCAUAAACUAUGCCGACCAGGGAUUGGAUGACGUUACAUGGAUGACUCCUCCAGCACCUUGCGAGAAAUCACAAGUUUUUGGGUUCCGGGGGGAGUAUGGUCGCAAGGCUGAAACUUAAAGGAAUUGACGGAAGGGCACCACCAGGAGUGGAGCCUGCGGCUUAAUUUGACCCAACACGGGAAAACUUACCAGGUCCAGACAUAGGAAGGAUUGACAGAUUGAGAGCUCUUUCUUGAUUCUAUGGUUGGUGGUGCAUGGCCGUUCUUAGUUGGUGGAGUGAUUUGUCUGGUUAAUUCCGUUAACGAACGAGACCUUAACCUGCUAAAUAGUUAUGGGAACGCUUCGUUGCUCCGGCGGCGAUGAGUUUCUAGAUACACUUCUUAGAGGGACUAUUCGUUUCCAGCGAAUGGAAGUUUGAGGCAAUAACAGGUCUGUGAUGCCCUUAGAUGUUCUGGGCCGCACGCGCGCUACACUGAUACGUUCAACGAGUUCCACACCUUGCCCGAUGGGGUUGGGUAAUCUUUUGAAAUCGUAUCGUGCUGGGGAUAGGAGAUUGCAAUUAUUCUCCUUCAACGAGGAAUUCCUAGUAAGCGUGAGUCAUUAGCUCGCGUUGAUUACGUCCCUGCCCUUUGUACACACCGCCCGUCGCUACUACCGAUUGGAUGAACUGGUGAAAUGCUCGGAUCGAGACCGCACGCUUCUGGUUCGCCGGGGGUUUGGUUUUGAGAAGUUCAGUAAACCUAUUCAUCUAGAGGAAGUAAAAGUC
RNAcentral lists this ribosomal RNA (1259 nucleotides) under metagenome. RNAcentral's name for it is "SSU rRNA". It matches the Rfam family "Eukaryotic small subunit ribosomal RNA", at positions 558 to 1790 of the family's 1831-position model. The record is from RNAcentral.